UCAGAGAGAGAGAGAGAGAGAGGGGGGGGGGAGAUGUACGAGGGGUCCCCUCCUCUCUCCCCAACCCUAAAGUUAAUAAAUGCUCUUACAAUGCUUAGAAACUCUCACAAAGCCUGUCUGCGAUCUGCAUGCUGGAAAUGAUGGCGUGACAAUAUUCAAUUUGCAUCACCAUGGACCACCCUUUCGUCUUGUAUUUUGUUUUCUCAUACUCUUAUAGCUUUCAAAAGCUAUUUCAGCCACCUAUUAUCCAUCAAUUAUAUCCAAUAAAAAUUGAUAAUUUCCCCACGGAUUCCUCUGCUUCACCCCGCCAUCUAUUUAUACUCUCUUCUUCCCCUCUUCUCUAGGUACCCUUUUUGCAGAAAAUUAUGAUGAAGACCAUAUAUAAUCUGGAGGUCUUCCUUUUCUUUCUUUCUUUACCCUACUAGCUAGCUAGGAAGUGCAGAUUUUCUUGUAGUGCACCACCAUCAGUUAAAGCUGCCAGCGUGAUCUAAACAUUCCUCCUUUGUUGAGGAAAGAUCAGAUCAUGUGGUAGCUUCACCUGUUGUUGGUGGCACUAAAAACCCUAAUUCAGCUCAACCCUAAUUUUGUUUCCUGCUCUCUCUCUCUCUCUCUCUCUACAUGCUUCCAUGUGUCAUUUUAAAAGCCCUCCUCAACAAAUCCAGAAAAAGGGCUUUCGUGGAGGUGGUAUGAUAUUGUGUGUUGCAGAGAGUUUUCAUUAUCCACUGCACCUAUAGACUUUCGUCAUCUCCCCUCUUGGCAUACGAAUCGAAAAUAGGGUUUUCUUUCCAAUUCAUGCCAAGAACUGGUCGAGAAGCCCAUCCAAGGUAUUGAGUUGACUCAGUGCCGAAGAGUGACUUACACUUUGCUCAUUUCUUGCAACAUUUUCAUGUUUUCCCUCCUUUUAUAUUGUUCAGUUACUAACCCUUAGAUUGUGUAUAUAUAUAUCUACAACCUCAUUUUCAGUAAAGAGGGCUGAAUCUUGCCAAUCUAGCUUUUAGAAAUUAUAUAUGCACAUAUAUCACUAUAUAUAUGUGUAUAUAUAUAUAUAUAUAUAUAUAUGAUAGAGAGAGGGGGUUGAGGUGGCGACUUGGGGAUAUCUUGGUUUUUUUUUUUGGGCAAGUAAAACUGUCAUUCAAAGAACUAGCAGCAGGAGAGUGUUGAACGUAGAACAAAUUUCCCUUAGGCCAUAUUAAUUUUGAAAAUAUUAAGAUGAAGGAUUUUGAGACCGGAAAAGAUUAUUAAAGGUACAAUUCUCAACAGGGAUCCUCGACACUCAAAUUUUGAACAGAAAAAUUACUAGCUUGAUCUACACACAUAAUUGAUCAGCAAUUCCAUGAGAUACUUCUGGAGGCUGUAAUGUAGAUGAAAUGUUAGAAGUUCUCGUCCAAGUGGAUUAGCAGAUCUGAUGUUGUUGUUAAUUAGUUAAUGAAAUUGCUGAAUUAUGUGUGUAGAUCAAGCUAGUAAUUUUUCUGUUCAAAAUUUGAGUGUCGAGGAUCCCUGUUGAGAAAUGUACCUCUAUGUAUCUCGUGUUACAAAAAAAAAAGAAAAGAAAAGAAAAAAGAAAUGAUAUAUAUAUAUAUAUAUGUAAGAUAUAUAUGCUGCCUUAAAAAAUCUGGUGCAUUAGGAUCAACUUUUAAGUUCAUUAAAUGAUCUGGCCUCAUCUUUCUCCAAUGCUGUUUAUUCCAGCCGUGAUGUUUUCCUGACAAAAUAACUUUUAAUUUCUUGAGAGAUUUAGUAAAUCUUGGAUGACCAUUUAUAUAUCCGUGGAACAACAACUUUGUCUUCAUGUGAAGAUAACACAUGCAGUUGAACAUAUCUAGCAGAUUUGCUGUGCCCAUAAUACCAUGAUCGCAAUUAUCUGGCCUGCCACUUUAACGUACAAAUCUUCUUUUGCCUUUACCAUCCCAUCUGUGAUUCAAUCUCAGUACACCUUUUUUGUCUUCCUUCUCUGAAGAAGGAAACUUUUUGUCUUUUGGUUUAAAUCUUCUUCUUUGGGUAGUUGGCAUGGAAGAAAUCUAUCCAUAUAUUCUUGAGUGGCAUUGAAGCAGUUCAAUAUGGUUUCUUUUGAAAGCCAGUUUCGUUUGCAAAAUUGUUAAGAUUUACCUAGUUUAUUUAUAUAAGUAGCGUCCAAGAUAAUUAGAGAUCAGUAAACAUAAUUAGCUUAUGCUUGCUCAAUCAGUGGGGUGGAGAACAAGACAAGCAACCAUUUCACUUAUGGAAAGCCUUCAGAAAUACACAAGCACUCAGUGCCAGGAUUCCACAUUGCUUUUGUUAGGUGGGGAAAAAUUUUCAAACUUUCUACGAAAGCUUCAUGUGGGAAACAUUCUAAAUAUAUAGCUUUCGUUUUUCCUCAGUCCACUACGAGAUAUCCAAAAUGUCAGUUAGCUUGAUUCUCUUUAACUUUCUCCAACCUUUUUGCUUUUCACUUUCUCUGAUGGAUGAAACAAAGAAGGUAAUCAAAGGGUGAAAUUGCCAGUGUGUUCUCUUUCACGGCAGUUCAGUUCCCUUGAAGAAGACCCUUACCUGAUUAGUUACUAGCUCUGCGAGUUGGCAUAACCACGGCAUUUGGUGUCCUUUAAAAGACCUCCCCCUAAAGGUUGAAAGGGAGGUAUCGUGUAUAUCAACACUUCUUCACUUUUUCUCUCCCUAUUCAACUAGGAACAAUAUCUGUGCAGGUCGAUCUUGGUCAAGCUCGAGUGUGUGUUGCAGUUUCUUUGCAAGUUGUGGCCCAUCACGGUCGUCUUUUUCCCUAAUUAAUCUAGUUGUGGAAGCUAAUUAGUUUAGCUUUCUUUUUCUUGCGUUUGGCUUCCAAUGUUGUAUCUUUUCUUAAAUUAAAUCCUCAUCUAUAUGUUAUUUAUGUAUUGGAAGGAAAAUGCUAUUUGUACAUAAGCAUCCUUACAGAAUGCUUAUAGGGAUGAUAUAUCGCGAUAUCAAAAUAUUGUGAUAUUUCGCAAUA
Molecule: long non-coding RNA, 2956 nt
Organism: Diospyros lotus (date-plum)
Lineage: Eukaryota; Viridiplantae; Streptophyta; Magnoliopsida; Ericales; Ebenaceae
Exons: 2
Source: RefSeq, a predicted model, not a curated record